This 468-nucleotide ribosomal RNA is filed under the name uncultured bacterium. RNAcentral's name for it is "partial 16S ribosomal RNA". It matches the Rfam family "Bacterial small subunit ribosomal RNA", at positions 28 to 507 of the family's 1533-position model. The record is from RNAcentral.
GACGAACGCUGGCGGCGUGCUUAACACAUGCAAGUCGAACGGAAAGGCCCUGCUUUUGUGGGGUGCUCGAGUGGCGAACGGGUGAGUAACACGUGAGUAACCUGCCCUUGACUUUGGGAUAACUUCAGGAAACUGGGGCUAAUACCGGAUAGGAGCUCCUGCUGCAUGGUGGGGGUUGGAAAGUUUCGGCGGUUGGGGAUGGACUCGCGGCUUACCAGCUUGUUGGUGGGGUAGUGGCUUACCAAGGCUUUGACGGGUAGCCGGCCUGAGAGGGUGACCGGCCACAUUGGGACUGAGAUACGGCCCAGACUCCUACGGGAGGCAGCAGUGGGGAAUAUUGCACAAUGGGCGGAAGCCUGAUGCAGCAACGCCGCGUGCGGGAUGACGGCCUUCGGGUUAUAAACCGCUUUCGCCUGUGACGAAGCCUGAGUGACGGUAAUGGGUAAAGAAGCACCGGCUAACUACGUG